UACAGAGGUCUCAAGCGUUGUUCGGAUUCAUUGGGCGUAAAGGGUGCGUAGGCGGCGCGGUAAGUCGGGUGUGAAAUUUCGAGGCUUAACCUCGAAACUGCAUUCGAUACUGCCGUGCUAGAGGACUGGAGAGGAGACUGGAAUUUACGGUGUAGCGGUGAAAUGCGUAGAUAUCGUAAGGAAGACCAGUGGCGAAGGCGGGUCUCUGGACAGUUCCUGACGCUGAGGAGCGAAAGCCAGGGGAGCAAACGGG
This 253-nucleotide ribosomal RNA is filed under the name uncultured bacterium. RNAcentral's name for it is "partial 16S ribosomal RNA". It matches the Rfam family "Bacterial small subunit ribosomal RNA", at positions 524 to 776 of the family's 1533-position model. The record is from RNAcentral.